UUCAGUUUUCCAGUAGGAUUUUAUACAAGAUCAACUCUAGCCGUCUCAGCAGUGCAGCGGCGGGUUCGCUACAGGCAAAUAUUUGCUAUUCGCAAAAUCAAGUGACCAUUGUGCACUUCAACGCAAUGACUUCAGUGCCAAAUUACGACAUAUAAAUCGAAUUAAAAAAAAACCGUGAUAUCGAAGAGGUGCCUCAAACGUGAAAAUUUCAGUGAAUGUGUCUCAAAAGUGGUCCCGAUUUCUGUGCUUCUAGUGUAUUAGGGUCUAUUGGUAAACAUGACGGAAUUCUUCGGAUCAUGGAACCAGGGACCGCAGGAAGAAGAUGGGGAAGAAGAGGUGGUGGAGUCUGUCGAGACCAUCACCACAACCACUACAAGGACCCGAACUAUCCCAAAAUCAUCCUCAACAAAGACUACAACUAUGACGACCCCGGCCAAAUUGUACGGGCGGGAGUUGUCUACAUACGACGAAGUGGACGUGGACGAGCUCCUGUCCAAGCUCACUCAAGAAGAACUGACCAUGCUGGCAAAGGAGGUUGAUCCUGACGACAAUUUCCUUCCACCGUCACAGCGUAACAACUACGCUUGCGAGAAGGAUCCCACCGGCCCGUUGAAUCGCAAGAAACUGAUAGAGCACAUCAACAAGCAAGCCCUGGAGACCCCCGACCGGCCCGAGGUCAAGCCUUUCGUCCCCGGCGUCGUCAGGGGCAAGAAGUGGAUCCCGCCCCCGCCUCCGGAGAAGGUGCGCGACGCCGAGGAACAGAUCACGAUCGAUCUCGGCGAUGAAUACGAACAGGCUCUCGGCACUGCAUCACAGGAGGAGAUCAUUGAUCUUGCGGCCAUCCUCGGAUUCCACUCGAUGAUGAAUCAGGACCAGUACCACGCGUCGCUUCUGAACAAGGGCCAGCCCGUCGGACUCGGAUGGGACGGCAUCACCAAAGCCACCAAACCCAAGGUAUUCCCAAUGGACCCGCCCAACGAUACGGACCCGGAUGAAACGAUCGCUCGAGUGCAACAAAAUGACCAGAAGCUGACUGAUCUCAAUUGGAAUAAUAUUAAGAACAUAAGCGACGAGAAGUUCGAGAAGCUGUUCGAAGCGCUAAAGAGCAACAGCCACGUGGAGGUGCUGUCGCUGGUGAACGUGGGGCUGACGGACCGCACGGCGGGCGCGCUGGCGGACGCGCUGCGGCACAACACGGCGCUGCGCGUGCUCAGCGUCGAGACCAACUUCAUCUCGCCGCCCGCGCUCGUGCAGCUCGUGCGCGCGCUGCUGCACACCAACACCGUCGAGGAGUUCCGGGCCUCCAACCAGAGAUCGCAAGUUCUCGGUAACAAGAUCGAGAUGGAGAUAACUCAGCUCGUCGAACAGAAUCCGACCCUGCUGCGUCUCGGGCUGCACCUCGAGUACAGCGACGCGAGGCACAGGGUCGCGUCGCAUCUCCAACGGAACAUCGAUAGGAAUUGCCGAGUGCUAAAACGGGCGAGUGCCUCCCUGAACCUCCGGUUGCCGCGGGCGCGAGUCCAGCCCGUCGCCAUCGACAACUCCCUCUUCAGCAUGACUCCGCCCAGCGCGGAAGCCGUCACCCCGACAAACGACACGAAAUCCAUAACGGAAAACGUCGAGAAGUCCUUGGUGCUCGAAGCCAAAGAACCGCCCGUGGUUGAGGAUCCGUCUCCGGUCGAUUAUACGGGAGAGAGGAUAAUUCCGGUAGCUGCGGCGAAGACGAAUGGCGUCGAGGAUGCUAAUCGACACGUUGAGAUCAGGACGGGAGAUCAAGUGGAUAGAUUCGUCCGCGCCCAGCCACCAGAUAUAAACCCCAAUCCGCAUUCUACGGAAAGACCUAACGCUGCGACUACAGUUCAGGUUCUUUAACAACCUGCAAAAGGGGGCGCGUAGCCAAUAGACAACAGAGUACGCCAGCAGCGCCGGAGCCAGAAUAGCGCUUAGACACUUAAACUACAAUUAGGCUGUCGCGUGCGUCGCAUUACGCAGUUCACCCGCAGCCGCAGCUACGUCGUGGGCUGGAUCCCGUGAGCGAGCGCCCGUCCCGCAAGCAAGCACGCACCGAACCGCGCACCGUUACCAACUAUAUAUCACGCACCGAUGCUAUUCCAUCAGCAUUCUGUUCUCGUGAGUCUUUGCAUCCCAACCCGAGUAGUCCGGUUCGUAGUAAGCGUUCAGAUGCUAAUUUAAUGUGUGAAAUUUCUCAUCCCCGUUGGGACCUCGGUCCGCGUUCAGAUCGUAGUCCUUAUCCGCAUUCGGCUCGGUUCGCUGUUGGCCCAUCGCUCUGCCGUUUCGGCUUGUGUGAUUGUGUUCCAUACAUUGGAACGAGUCGAUACAUAUUUCGUUAUAACACACAUCAUUAUUCGUCUCCGCAUAAUAAUUAUACAAAGAUGGCGUUAGAUAUUUAAAUGUUUAAUUUUGUAUCAAGCAAUCGAAUGCAUUGAUUUUAAAAUGCACUUUAUAUUUAUUGUUUAAAAAAAAAUGUUAAUUAUAAGCAUAAUCGUUGCCUUAAUCGCUUCGUAUGUGUAGCUGCUUAGGUAUAGUCAAAUUAGAUGUAGUUUUAGUUAUGUGCUUGAAAAUUUCUAUACAAUUAUAAAAUUGUAUCGACUCUACUAAGACACAAUGACAGAAGUCGAAAAGCAGAUUAUAUUUUUAUGUCUGUGUUCUGAAUGUUAGUCGCUGACAAGAAUUGUGGUUCUGUGGUGGAAAUUUUUAGAGAAAAUGUUGACAAAGAUUACUAGAGAGGCAGGACCGUCGCUAGUUACAAUUGGAUUCAUUUCACUAAUCGAACAAUUAUCCGGAUUAGAGAAAGUCAUCAUUUUCUUUCAAUAAAACGUGCCGUGAUUUAUUUUAAGAAUAAAACUAUAUAGUAUUUUAUGAAAAUGCCAAUGGCUGUAAUCAAAUUUAAUUAAAUCAUUUUGAAUAAUUUGUUUCUAUUAUUUUUUUCUUUUAGGACAAUUUACUGUAUGUUCUAAUAUAAACGGAGAAAAUUGACAAAGUCUAGUUUUUUAAUUAAAUGAAUUUAUUCGAGAAACCCUUUGCCAUAGAAAAUAAUAACUUUUCUGUGCUAAUGUCAUCAUUGACAGAUGUAAUGGCGGAAAUAAAUAUUAUUUUCAUUACAUAAUGAUGAACGCCCCAUUUCCGGAACGAAACUACAAUUCUUGCGAAAUGAUGUGAACGAUGUACGUUUUUGAAAAUAUUAAUGUUAUUGUAAUACUUCUACUAGAGUGCUAAUGAAUUAAAAAAAAAGAUAUUAAAAUUGUAAUAUAAUAUUAAAGUAGUUUCACAUUCCAUUAAUGCAAAACACAUUUCUCUUAAAAUAUUUAGAUCGAAUAUUAUUAUUUUUGACUAAUGUUUCGACUGAACGUCUUGCCACCUUAAGAAAUGUUAAUGGAAUUUCUAUUUAUUUACUAAUCGAAUUGGACUAUGAGAGGUGAUCUUUUGCAUCAAUGGAGUUAAUUUUUAACUAAAUUUUUAAUAAAGCACUAGACCUUACGAUUCGCUGUUUCGUAAAAACCUUUUUUAUAUGUGUAGUGAACGAAUAAUGCUAAAAAUAUACGUCUUAUGUCUUAGUGCGCGAGCUCUAUGUUUCGUCUCGCUCACUCUUGUGUUUUACGAUGCGAGUGAGCGAGACAGGUGCGGAGUCAUCUGCGGAUUAGCUUUACUAUAAAUAUUUCACCUUUUGCUUUCUUGAAACAAAAAAAAGCUUACAUAUUUUUUUUAAUUUAAUCUUUAUGUAUAUUUGAUUUGUGUCUGAAGAAAGAUGUGUCCAUAACAUUGUGAUAAAUGCAUCAUGAGUCUUAUAUUAAUUUCCAUUUUUAAAACAGUAAAUACAGGAUUUUGAAUUUCGUUCUUACUGUCCAUAAGAGGAGAAGAUUGUAAAUGAAUUUAGUAUUUUUUUUAAAUGUAAAAUUCUUUGUGACUAUUAAAAAACAUAAUGUAUUUUUAUUUUUAACUAUAGAUUUAUUUAUGAGAUUAUGGGUUCAGGAGCAUUUUGAUCCAUCGAUAACUUCGACUUUAGGUUCGGAUGUCCUGUAGUUUGUGACAACUGUAAAAAAAAAACUUAAAUAAAGUACAUAAACAAUUU
Molecule: unclassified non-coding RNA, 4090 nt
Filed under: Bombyx mandarina (wild silkworm)
Lineage: Eukaryota; Metazoa; Arthropoda; Insecta; Lepidoptera; Bombycidae
Description: tropomodulin-1, transcript variant X7
Source: RNAcentral